RNAcentral lists this ribosomal RNA (254 nucleotides) under uncultured bacterium. RNAcentral's name for it is "partial 16S ribosomal RNA". It matches the Rfam family "Bacterial small subunit ribosomal RNA", at positions 524 to 776 of the family's 1533-position model. The record is from RNAcentral.
CACGUAGGGGGCAAGCGUUGUCCGGAUUUAUUGGGCGGAAAGAGCUCGUAGGCGGCUCAGUAAGUCAGGUGUGAAACCUCCAGGCUCAACCUGGAGACGCCACCUGAUACUGCUGUGGCUAGAGUCCGGUAGGGGAGCGUGGAAUUCCUGGUGUAGCGGUGAAAUGCGCAGAUAUCAGGAGGAACACCGGUGGCGAAGGCAGCACUCUGGGACGGUACUGACGCUGAGACGCGAAAGCGUGGGGAGCGAACAGG